Molecule: ribosomal RNA, 490 nt
Filed under: uncultured bacterium
Lineage: Bacteria
Description: partial 16S ribosomal RNA
Rfam family: Bacterial small subunit ribosomal RNA
Source: RNAcentral
GAUGAACGCUAGCUACAGGCUUAACACAUGCAAGUCGAGGGGCAGCAUGGUCUUAGCUUGCUCAGGCCGAUGGCGACCGGCGCACGGGUGAGUAACACGUAUCCAACCUGCCGUCUACUCUUGGACAGCCUUCUGAAAGGAAGAUUAAUACAAGAUGGCAUCAUGAGUUCACAUGUUCACAUGAUUAAAGGUAUUCCGGUAGACGAUGGGGAUGCGUUCCAUUAGAUAGUAGGCGGGGUAACGGCCCACCUAGUCUUCGAUGGAUAGGGGUUCUGAGAGGAAGGUCCCCCACAUUGGAACUGAGACACGGUCCAAACUCCUACGGGAGGCAGCAGUGAGGAAUAUUGGUCAAUGGGCGAGAGCCUGAACCAGCCAAGUAGCGUGAAGGAUGACUGCCCUAUGGGUUGUAAACUUCUUUUAUAAAGGAAUAAAGUCGGGAAUGUAUACCCGUUUGCAUGUACUUUAUGAAUAAGGAUCGGCUAACUCCGUG